Molecule: microRNA precursor, 89 nt
Filed under: Gorilla gorilla gorilla (western lowland gorilla)
Lineage: Eukaryota; Metazoa; Chordata; Mammalia; Primates; Hominidae
Description: mir-544 microRNA precursor family
Rfam family: mir-544 microRNA precursor family
Source: Rfam by way of RNAcentral
AUCACCUGAGGACCUUGUUAGAAUGCAGAUUCUGAUUCAGCAAGUCAGCCUGGGGUUCUGCAUUUUAACAAGCUCCCAGGUGAUUCUGA